This 28-nucleotide small RNA is filed under the name Bombyx mori (domestic silkworm). Its description in RNAcentral is "ovarian small RNA-6774". The record is from RNAcentral. Lineage: Eukaryota; Metazoa; Arthropoda; Insecta; Lepidoptera; Bombycidae.
UCAAGGUUAUAGGAUGGGAUCCUUUGAU